Molecule: ribosomal RNA, 494 nt
Filed under: uncultured bacterium
Lineage: Bacteria
Description: partial 16S ribosomal RNA
Rfam family: Bacterial small subunit ribosomal RNA
Source: RNAcentral
GACGAACGCUGGCGGCGCGCUUAACACAUGCAAGUCGAACGGAAAGGCCUGCUAUCCCUUGUGGAUUGCGGGUACUCGAGUGGCGAACGGGUGAGUAACACGUGAGUGAUCUGCCCCCAACUUGGGUAUAAGCCUGGGAAACUGGGUCUAAUUCCCGAUAGGACUGCAGGGUGGUGCCUGUGGUGGAAAACGAUUUUCUAGUGGUUGGGGAUGAGCUCGCGGCCUAUCAGCUUGUUGGUGGGGUAAUGGCCUACCAAGGCGGCGACGGGUAGCCGGCCUGGGAGGGUGGACGGCCACAUUGGGACUGAGAUACGGCCCAGACUCCUACGGGAGGCAGCAGUGGGGAAUAGUGCACAAUGGGCGGAAGCCUGAUGCAGCGACGCCGCGUGGGGGAUGACGGCCUUCGGGUUGUAAACUCCUUUCGACCGCGAGGAAGCCACCUGGUUGGAAGGGUGGUGACGGUAGUGGUAGAAGAAGCACCGGCUAACUACGUG